Molecule: ribosomal RNA, 497 nt
Filed under: uncultured bacterium
Lineage: Bacteria
Description: partial 16S ribosomal RNA
Rfam family: Bacterial small subunit ribosomal RNA
Source: RNAcentral
GAUGAACGCUGGCGGCGUGCCUAAUACAUGCAAGUCGAGCGAACAGACGAGGAGCUUGCUCCUCUGACGUUAGCGGCGGACGGGUGAGUCACACGUGGAUAACCUACCUAUCAGACUGGGAUAACUUCGGGAAACCGGAGCUAACACCGGAUAAUAUAUUGAACCGCAUGGUUCAAUAGUGAAAGACGGUUUUGCUGUCACUUAUCGCUGGAUCCGCGCCGCAUUGUCUAGUUGGUAAGUUAACGGCUUACCACGGCGACGAUGCGUGGCCGACCUGAGAGAGUGAUCGGCCACACGGGAGCUGAGACGCGGUCCAGACUCCUACGGGAGGGAGCAGUAGGGAAUGGUCGGCAAUGGGCGAAAGCCUGGCGGAGCAACGCGGCGUGAGUGAUGAAGGUCUUCGGAUCGUAAAACUCUGUUAUUAGGGAAGAACAGAUGUGUAAGUAGCUAUGCACGUCUUGACGGUACCGAAUCAGGAAGCAACGGCUAACUACGUG